Molecule: long non-coding RNA, 348 nt
Filed under: Anser cygnoides (Swan goose)
Lineage: Eukaryota; Metazoa; Chordata; Aves; Anseriformes; Anatidae
Description: lncRNA (ENSACDG00005004477.1)
Source: RNAcentral
AUGUGUUCAGCUUUUCUGAGGUCAAGAGGUUCUUCCGACGUACCGAGGCAGACUCCUGAGUUCUUAUCCAUUGUCACUCAGAAAGGUAUGGACAGACAUAGCCCAGAGUUGUGGCAGCCAUUAAUAGAUCAAGCAAGCCCAUGCAGCUGUGUUUUGAUCAGUGGAAAGGUUUCUGGCAUCCAAGAGCUGAAAUCACCUUUUGGGUCAUCACACCUCACUGGAGGUUUCCCUGCUUUAACGAGCAUCUCAGAAACCACAGAGAGGACUGGAGAAUGGGGGUCAUUGUACAUUCUUGUAUUUGAAAGCAGCUCCAUAGCAUCCGCAAGAGGAUUCUUGGCACCUGCCUAG